RNAcentral lists this ribosomal RNA (372 nucleotides) under uncultured organism. RNAcentral's name for it is "bacterial SSU rRNA". It matches the Rfam family "Bacterial small subunit ribosomal RNA", at positions 526 to 896 of the family's 1533-position model. The record is from RNAcentral.
CGUAGGGUGCAAAGCGUUAAUCGGAAUUACUGGGCGUAAAGCGUGCGCAGGCGGUUUUGUAAGUCUGUCGUGAAAUCCCCGGGCUCAACCUGGGAAUGGCGAUGGAGACUGCAAGGCUAGAGUUUGGCAGAGGGGGGUAGAAUUCCACGUGUAGCAGUGAAAUGCGUAGAUAUGUGGAGGAACACCGAUGGCGAAGGCAGCCCCCCUGGGUCAAAACUGACGCUCAUGCACGAAAGCGUGGGGAGCAAACAGGAUUAGAUACCCUGGUAGUCCACGCCCUAAACGAUGUCUACUAGUUGUCGGGUCUUAAUUGACUUGGUAACGCAGCUAACGCGUGAAGUAGACCGCCUGGGGAGUACGGUCGCAAGAUUA